GCGUUCUGAUACCACUUGUCACGGGCUCAUUUUUCAACGUGUCAGCGGCACACAAUUCUGCCCGUGCGGCGCCCAUGGUUCCCCCAACUAUGGGCCAGCCUUCCUCAUUUCCCAGGUCUUUAGCACGAUCCUGUGCUUGUGGGAAGCUCUCCUCAGAGGCUUGCCCCCUUUGGUGCCGCUCCUUCAACAUGUCGGCUGACAUGGCCAACGUAUAAGCAACUCUUCUGGCGCACCUUUAAUUCGUGGAUCUCAUCCAUAGGCGCUCCUGGGGAUGGCUAUGGACAUACUCGUCCCUUGC
Long non-coding RNA from Capsicum annuum, 298 nucleotides. RefSeq lists it as uncharacterized. The transcript is spliced from 3 exons. The record is from RefSeq and is a predicted model, not a curated record. NCBI's taxonomy places the organism in Eukaryota, Viridiplantae, Streptophyta, Magnoliopsida, Solanales, Solanaceae.